RNAcentral lists this long non-coding RNA (208 nucleotides) under Nicotiana benthamiana. RNAcentral's name for it is "long non-coding RNA (NBEN_LNC010033)". The record is from RNAcentral. Lineage: Eukaryota; Viridiplantae; Streptophyta; Magnoliopsida; Solanales; Solanaceae.
GCAGCCCAACUUCACAGCAGCCCAAGGGUAGUUAGUAUAUUUAAUUGUUGUAUAACUUUGUACAUAAGACAGGGACACAAAUGUAAUUACACACACACAUUAGAUUUUUAUUACAUUUUGUAUAUACUGAGUAGGUGCAGAAGGUUCGGGACAUUCAGUCAUUUCAAUACAAUUUUCAGUUUUCAUUUUCUCUCUUCUCUCUCUUCUC